CGGGAUUAGUUCCCGUUGGAGUGUGACCCUGCAGACAGGGUUGAACCGUGAA
Molecule: non-coding RNA, 52 nt
Submitted as: unclassified sequences
Source: Rfam